UAGGGAAUCUUCCACAAUGGACGCAAGUCUGAUGGAGCAACGCCGCGUGAGUGAAGAAGGUCUUCGGAUCGUAAAACUCUGUUGUUAGAGAAGAACACGAGUGAGAGUAACUGUUCAUUCGAUGACGGUAUCUAACAGCAAGUCACGGCUAACUACGUGCCCG
This 163-nucleotide ribosomal RNA is filed under the name uncultured bacterium. Its description in RNAcentral is "partial 16S rRNA". It matches the Rfam family "Bacterial small subunit ribosomal RNA", at positions 355 to 511 of the family's 1533-position model. The record is from RNAcentral.